This 482-nucleotide ribosomal RNA is filed under the name uncultured bacterium. RNAcentral's name for it is "bacterial SSU rRNA". It matches the Rfam family "Bacterial small subunit ribosomal RNA", at positions 15 to 518 of the family's 1533-position model. The record is from RNAcentral.
GAUCAUGGCUCAGGAUGAACGCUGGCGGCGUGCUUAAUACAUGCAAGUCGAACGGAGAGCUAGAAAUAGUUUUAGUGGCGAACGGGUGAGUAACGCGUUGGUGACCUGCCCCGAAGAGGGGGGAUAACGGUUCGAAAGGACUGCUAAUACCCCAUGAGAUCUCUGAGGUUAGAGGCUUGGAGAUGAAAGGCGAAAGCCGCUUCGGGAGGGGCCUGCGUCCCAUCAGCUAGUUGGUAGGGUAAAGGCCUACCAAGGCGAAGACGGGUAGGGGCCUGAGAGGGUGACCCCCCACAAUGGAACUGAAACACGGUCCAUACACCUACGGGUGGCAGCAGUAGGGAAUAUUGCACAAUGGGCGAAAGCCUGAUGCAGCAACGCCGCGUGCGCGACGAAGGCCUUCGGGUUGUAAAGCGCUUUUCGGGGAGAUGAGGAAGGACAGUAUCCCCGGAAGAAGGCUCGGCUAACUACGUGCCAGCCGCUGC